RNAcentral lists this ribosomal RNA (1350 nucleotides) under Lactiplantibacillus plantarum. Its description in RNAcentral is "Lactobacillus plantarum 16S ribosomal RNA". It matches the Rfam family "Bacterial small subunit ribosomal RNA", at positions 93 to 1430 of the family's 1533-position model. Lineage: Bacteria; Bacillati; Bacillota; Bacilli; Lactobacillales; Lactobacillaceae. The record is from RNAcentral.
GAGUGGCGAACUGGUGAGUAACACGUGGGAAACCUGCCCAGAAGCGGGGGAUAACACCUGGAAACAGAUGCUAAUACCGCAUAACAACUUGGACCGCAUGGUCCGAGCUUGAAAGAUGGCUUCGGCUAUCACUUUUGGAUGGUCCCGCGGCGUAUUAGCUAGAUGGUGGGGUAACGGCUCACCAUGGCAAUGAUACGUAGCCGACCUGAGAGGGUAAUCGGCCACAUUGGGACUGAGACACGGCCCAAACUCCUACGGGAGGCAGCAGUAGGGAAUCUUCCACAAUGGACGAAAGUCUGAUGGAGCAACGCCGCGUGAGUGAAGAAGGGUUUCGGCUCGUAAAACUCUGUUGUUAAAGAAGAACAUAUCUGAGAGUAACUGUUCAGGUAUUGACGGUAUUUAACCAGAAAGCCACGGCUAACUACGUGCCAGCAGCCGCGGUAAUACGUAGGUGGCAAGCGUUGUCCGGAUUUAUUGGGCGUAAAGCGAGCGCAGGCGGUUUUUUAAGUCUGAUGUGAAAGCCUUCGGCUCAACCGAAGAAGUGCAUCGGAAACUGGGAAACUUGAGUGCAGAAGAGGACAGUGGAACUCCAUGUGUAGCGGUGAAAUGCGUAGAUAUAUGGAAGAACACCAGUGGCGAAGGCGGCUGUCUGGUCUGUAACUGACGCUGAGGCUCGAAAGUAUGGGUAGCAAACAGGAUUAGAUACCCUGGUAGUCCAUACCGUAAACGAUGAAUGCUAAGUGUUGGAGGGUUUCCGCCCUUCAGUGCUGCAGCUAACGCAUUAAGCAUUCCGCCUGGGGAGUACGGCCGCAAGGCUGAAACUCAAAGGAAUUGACGGGGGCCCGCACAAGCGGUGGAGCAUGUGGUUUAAUUCGAAGCUACGCGAAGAACCUUACCAGGUCUUGACAUACUAUGCAAAUCUAAGAGAUUAGACGUUCCCUUCGGGGACAUGGAUACAGGUGGUGCAUGGUUGUCGUCAGCUCGUGUCGUGAGAUGUUGGGUUAAGUCCCGCAACGAGCGCAACCCUUAUUAUCAGUUGCCAGCAUUAAGUUGGGCACUCUGGUGAGACUGCCGGUGACAAACCGGAGGAAGGUGGGGAUGACGUCAAAUCAUCAUGCCCCUUAUGACCUGGGCUACACACGUGCUACAAUGGAUGGUACAACGAGUUGCGAACUCGCGAGAGUAAGCUAAUCUCUUAAAGCCAUUCUCAGUUCGGAUUGUAGGCUGCAACUCGCCUACAUGAAGUCGGAAUCGCUAGUAAUCGCGGAUCAGCAUGCCGCGGUGAAUACGUUCCCGGGCCUUGUACACACCGCCCGUCACACCAUGAGAGUUUGUAACACCCAAAGUCGG